Molecule: long non-coding RNA, 332 nt
Filed under: Elaeis guineensis (African oil palm)
Lineage: Eukaryota; Viridiplantae; Streptophyta; Magnoliopsida; Arecales; Arecaceae
Description: long non-coding RNA (EGUI_LNC074359)
Source: RNAcentral
UUGGGAAAUGUGUCCCAAAAAGCCAAUCGUCAAGCUGUUGAUGGUUGAGCAACCAAGUAUUGUAAUUGAUUUGUUAAUAAAUAAAAUAUAUUUGGCAUCUUCAUCAUAAGCUUUCAUCUUCUAAUGAACUCCAUUGUUAUGAUGAAGUCCUUAGGACUAUUUAAGUUCGAUAAAGAGAGGAUUUAUCGAUUAAUCCUUAAAAUUAUUCACGACCAAAUGAUAAGCUGUUAAUAAGGACGACAGCUUCUAUCGAGCAUAGGUCGCUGUAGGCCAUAUGGGUUGGUUGUCCUCUUAACCAAGGAGUGUGGAGACACUGGUAUGGCAUACAGGUG